UAGCCACGGUAAUACCCGCUCCCCCGAGUGGUAGGGACUAUUACUGGGCCUAAAGCGUCCGUAGCCGGCUCGGCGUGCUCCGCGUUAAAAUCCAGCAGCCUAACUGCUGGGCCGCGCGGAUGACUGCCGGGCUUGGGGGUGGGAGAGGCCACUGGUAGUCCCGGGGUAGGAGUGAAAUCCACUGAUCCCGGGAGGACCUGCAGUGGCGAAGGC
This 213-nucleotide ribosomal RNA is filed under the name uncultured archaeon. RNAcentral describes it as "partial 16S ribosomal RNA". It matches the Rfam family "Archaeal small subunit ribosomal RNA", at positions 462 to 673 of the family's 1478-position model. The record is from RNAcentral.